Lontra canadensis (Northern American river otter) is the source of this 256-nucleotide long non-coding RNA. RefSeq lists it as uncharacterized. Lineage: Eukaryota; Metazoa; Chordata; Mammalia; Carnivora; Mustelidae. The transcript is spliced from 3 exons. The record is from RefSeq and is a predicted model, not a curated record.
GGACAGGGUGCUGGCUUUGAACACAGAAGGUCAGAGUCAAUGCCCUACAUUUAGCACAUUCUACUUCUACAAAAUUUGUUCAACUAUAUGAUAGAACUUAAAGGGCAAUGGUCUCACUGCAUAAAAUAAUAUUUCCCAUUCCUCCUGGCUUGGAGUCUGGAAGAGUAAUUGAGAACAGUAUUUUGGAACUUCUAACCAAGUUACUAUUGGUCAUCAUUCAAAGUUCCAGAAACAUUGCUGUCCUGGAAAAUGCACA